RNAcentral lists this transfer RNA (67 nucleotides) under Micromonospora noduli. Its description in RNAcentral is "tRNA-Pro". It matches the Rfam family "tRNA". From Rfam's summary of the family: Transfer RNA (tRNA) molecules are approximately 80 nucleotides in length. Their secondary structure includes four short double-helical elements and three loops (D, anti-codon, and T loops). Further hydrogen bonds mediate the characteristic L-shaped molecular structure. tRNAs have two regions of fundamental functional importance: the anti-codon, which is responsible for specific mRNA codon recognition, and the 3' end, to which the tRNAs corresponding amino acid is attached (by aminoacyl-tRNA synthetases). tRNAs cope with the degeneracy of the genetic code in two manners: having more than one tRNA (with a specific anti-codon) for a particular amino acid; and 'wobble' base-pairing, i.e. permitting non-standard base-pairing at the 3rd anti-codon position. Lineage: Bacteria; Bacillati; Actinomycetota; Actinomycetes; Micromonosporales; Micromonosporaceae. The record is from RNAcentral.
GACGUGGCGCAGCUUGGUAGCGCACUUGACUGGGGGUCAAGGGGUCGUCGGUUCGAAUCCGGCCGUC